Transfer RNA from Penicillium decumbens, 72 nucleotides. It matches the Rfam family "tRNA". Rfam says of the family: Transfer RNA (tRNA) molecules are approximately 80 nucleotides in length. Their secondary structure includes four short double-helical elements and three loops (D, anti-codon, and T loops). The record is from Rfam. Lineage: Eukaryota; Fungi; Ascomycota; Eurotiomycetes; Eurotiales; Aspergillaceae.
AGCAUGUUGGCGUAGGGGAAACGCGCCGGGCUCAUAACCCGGAGAUCCCUGGAUCGAAACCAGGACAUGCUA